This 828-nucleotide ribosomal RNA is filed under the name Shewanella sp. PR9_G07. Its description in RNAcentral is "bacterial SSU rRNA". It matches the Rfam family "Bacterial small subunit ribosomal RNA", at positions 88 to 912 of the family's 1533-position model. The record is from RNAcentral. Lineage: Bacteria; Pseudomonadati; Pseudomonadota; Gammaproteobacteria; Alteromonadales; Shewanellaceae.
GUGUCGAGCGGCGGANGGGUGAGUAAUGCCUAGGUAUCUGCCCAGUCGAGGGGGAUAACAGUUGGAAACGACUGCUAAUACCGCAUACGCCCUACGGGGGAAAGGAGGGGACCUUCGGGCCUUUCGCGAUUGGAUGAACCUAGGUGGGAUUAGCUAGUAGGUGGGGUAAUGGCUCACCUAGGCAACGAUCCCUAGCUGGUCUGAGAGGAUGAUCAGCCACACUGGAACUGAGACACGGUCCAGACUCCUACGGGAGGCAGCAGUGGGGAAUAUUGCACAAUGGGCGAAAGCCUGAUGCAGCCAUGCCGCGUGUAUGAAGAAGGCCUUCGGGUUGUAAAGUACUUUCAGCGAGGAGGAAAGGUAGGUAGUUAAUAACUGCUUACUGUGACGUUACUCGCAGAAGAAGCACCGGCUAACUUCGUGCCAGCAGCCGCGGUAAUACGAGGGGUGCAAGCGUUAAUCGGAAUUACUGGGCGUAAAGCGUACGCAGGCGGUUUGUUAAGCAAGAUGUGAAAGCCCCGGGCUCAACCUGGGAACUGCAUUUUGAACUGGCAAACUAGAGUCUUGUAGAGGGGGGUAGAAUUUCAGGUGUAGCGGUGAAAUGCGUAGAGAUCUGAAGGAAUACCGGUGGCGAAGGCGGCCCCCUGGACAAAGACUGACGCUCAGGUACGAAAGCGUNNNGAGCAAACAGGAUUAGAUACCCUGGUAGUCCACGCCGUAAACGAUGUCUACUCGGAAUUUGGUGUCUUGAACACUGGGUUCUCAAGCUAACGCAUUAAGUAGACCGCCUGGGGAGUACGGCCGCAAGGUUAAAACUCAAAUGAAUUG